UCUUCCGCAAUGGGCGAAAGUCUGACGGAGCAACGCCGCGUGAGUGAUUAAGGGUUUCGGAUCGUAAAACUCUGUUGUUAGGGAAGAACAAGUACCGAUCGAAUAGGGCGGUACCUUGACGGUACCUAACCAGACAGCCACGGCUAACUACGUGCCAGCAGCCGCGGUAAUACGUAGGUGGCAAGCGUUGUCCGGAAUUAUUGGGCGUAAAGCACGCGCAGGCGGUUUCUUAAGUCUGAUGUGAAAGCCCCCGGCUCAACCGGGGAGGGUCAUUGGAAACUGGGGAACUUGAGUGCAGAAGAGGAGAGUGAAAUUCCACGUGUAGCGGUGAAAUGCGUAGAGAUGUGGAGGAACACCAGUGGCGAAGGCGACUCUCUGGUCUGUAACUGACGCUGAGGAGCGAAAGCGUGGGGAGCGAACAG
RNAcentral lists this ribosomal RNA (422 nucleotides) under uncultured bacterium. RNAcentral's name for it is "bacterial SSU rRNA". It matches the Rfam family "Bacterial small subunit ribosomal RNA", at positions 362 to 775 of the family's 1533-position model. The record is from RNAcentral.